GAAGUGUGAACCAAGCGGCGGCGGAAGCCGUGUGAGACUUGGAGCGGAUGGCCGCAAGGCUGUCCCACA
This 69-nucleotide non-coding RNA is filed under the name unclassified sequences. RNAcentral describes it as "Transposase-2 RNA". It matches the Rfam family "Transposase-2 RNA". The record is from Rfam by way of RNAcentral.